CAGCAGCCGCGGGAAUACGUAGGUGGCAAGCGUUGUCCGGAAUUAUUGGGCGUAAAGGGCACGCAGGCGGUUUCUUAAGUCUGAUGUGAAAGCCCCCGGCUCAACCGGGGAGGGUCAUUGGAAACUGGGAAACUUGAGUGCAGAAGAGGAGAGUGGAAUUCCACGUGUAGCGGUGAAAUGCGUAGAGAUGUGGAGGAACACCAGUGGCGAAGGCGACUCUCUGGUCUGUAACUGACGCUGAGGAGCGAAAGCGUGGGGAGCGAACAGGAUUAGAUACCCGUGUAGUCCCUGUCUCUUAUAC
Molecule: ribosomal RNA, 301 nt
Filed under: uncultured bacterium
Lineage: Bacteria
Description: partial 16S ribosomal RNA
Rfam family: Bacterial small subunit ribosomal RNA
Source: RNAcentral